GCCCGCGUGGCGGAAUUGGUAGACGCAAGGGACUUAAAAUCCCUCAGCCCUUGGGCUGUCCCGGUUCGAGUCCGGGCGCGGGCACCA
Molecule: transfer RNA, 87 nt
Filed under: Rhodospirillales bacterium
Lineage: Bacteria; Pseudomonadati; Pseudomonadota; Alphaproteobacteria; Rhodospirillales
Description: tRNA-Leu
Rfam family: tRNA
About the family: Transfer RNA (tRNA) molecules are approximately 80 nucleotides in length.
Source: RNAcentral